Long non-coding RNA from Pecten maximus, 1359 nucleotides. RefSeq lists it as uncharacterized. The record is from RefSeq and is a predicted model, not a curated record. NCBI's taxonomy places the organism in Eukaryota, Metazoa, Mollusca, Bivalvia, Pectinida, Pectinidae. The transcript has 2 exons.
AGGCGGACCAGUUUUAUCCGAUUUGUCACAGCUUGACAUUUCGCGAACACGGCCUGUGAACAAGUCGAUAACGGUAUGUGUGUACAUACGUGGUGUGUCCGUGAUAUGGACAACGUCCACUAAUGACCCCGUGACUGUUUGGACUGUUUGGACUUCCAUAAUCGACCAUGUGUACUCGUACACACACAUAUUACCGUUAUAUCGAUCGACCUUGCGUUACGUCAGCGGCGUCCAGCCAAGCGGUGACCAUAACAUCGAUACAUAGACUCCGGGCUGUUGUUGACAGCUAUGUAAGAAAAUCCUACCGUGGACGUAUAUCGUUGGACGAAGCCGGAGGUUUAUGGAGAAACGUGUUGGAUAAUAUAACGGGUACCUGUGUUUGGUCACAAACAUAUACUUAGUUCUGCGAGAAGCACGAUCGACAUUGCGGGUGGAAAACUGGAAGAAACAACCCCUUCUUUAGCGAGGAAGAUAUUUUGUUCAACGAAACAAAUAUAAACACAAGAUUGUUUUUGAGAAGGUCGUGGGCCAUAUAAGCAUUGUAGUGAGCAAGUUUGACGUGUAAAUCUCCACAAUGUCACCCAUAUUGAUUCUCAUAUUGGUUUCUACUAUGGUUGCCCUAUCGAUGUUCAUCUUUCUUCUCAUCAGUAUGGCCCUUAUAUUGAUAAUGUGUAUGGCCACGGGAACUAUCAUAUCCGUCCUGCUGUUUGCCGCUAACGUCAUCCUACGCGACAGCAAUAUACAGCUGUCCGACUUGAACAUUCCGGAUAUGACGCAGAUCUUUGGAAUGCUGGGAAAAGUGAAUACUAUUUCUACGACUCAGAUGAAAGAACAGUUUUGGAACAUGGCUAGUCGGAAAAACGUUACCGCAUGUGCACAUACGAUAUUUAACAGAGUGUACCAUACCGUGACAUUUUCUUACUUCAAAUGAUGCUGAGUCUGGAUAUUAACUUCCAAGAUGCAAGUUAAUUGAGAUCGCCAAUUUUUACUGAAUUCCGGGAUUAUAACCUGUGCCUUUUCGCCGCAGGGUCUUGCCACGAAUUUUCAGGCCCACGGUCCACAUACCGGGACCAUGGUAUCAGGAAUACACGCCAAGUCCCUGUGCUAAAUGUAUCGUAAAUGUAGAAAAUUGUAUUUAUGACUGGAAGUGACGGAUGACAAUGGCAACAUAUUUGUCUUAUUCCAUUUUGUGAACACUUUGAAUGUUUUCAUAUUGUGAAAGACACUUGACUAUUAAUUUAUUACUUUUUUUUUUAUACAUUUCAAUAUUGAAUGCCAGUGUUUUUAUAUGUGUGAUAAUAUUCUUAAACAGAUGUACGUAUUUAGAUAUUGAGAAAAUAAUAUAUUUCAAUGAAGUAC